This 1110-nucleotide long non-coding RNA is filed under the name Zonotrichia albicollis (white-throated sparrow). RNAcentral describes it as "lncRNA (ENSZALG00000002130.1)". The record is from RNAcentral. Lineage: Eukaryota; Metazoa; Chordata; Aves; Passeriformes; Passerellidae.
CCAAGGAUUCUACUCCUGAUAGGAAGGAGCUGAAAUUUUAUCUAUUUGCCAGCAGGGACAAAGACACUAACAAGUGGCCAACAACUGCUUGAGAGCUCUCUGAUCAGGAUAGAUAACCUCUGAGAGAGAAACUGCAUCUACCAGCUCACAUAGCACUUAACCCUAGCAGAAAGGCCCAGAAACAGAGAGAAACAGUUGAGUUAAUAAUUAACAGGCACCUGCUGUGUACACAAAAUCCCCAAAUCAUAUGAACACACCAGGAUGAUGUGUGCAACUUCAUCAUCUAGUUUUUUCCACCAUUUUCCAACUUGCUGGGUUAGAGUAAUUAUUCUAUUAACAAGUUUAAUAUGAGUCAGUUCUGGCUGGUAUCUCUGCCUUUCUCUCAUCAGUUCAUUAAUUACAGGGUGGCUUCUCAGAGUGCAGCACAUCCUGAAUGCACUGCUAAAGACUCUUAUCACGCUCACCAUUGGUUCUGGGUAUCAGCUGGGACACAGGUAUGAGAAUGCCACCUCUGCUGGUUGCAGCAGCAAUCCCUCCUGCAGGGCAGUGCAGGCUGCACACACCCUUGGGUGCUCCUGGCCUUUGGGCAGGGAGCAGAGACCACAGCUGCCCCAGGAGAGCACAGAAGAGCCCCUUUUGUCCCUCUAGCAAGGCACAACCAGUUCAGAUACUGGUUGUACCCACAGACCCCCACUCCUGCAUCCAGCAGAGCUUUGCCCUACAGUGAAGGAGCAGAGACCCCCAGAGACCCCCAGCACUGUCUGGUGCAGCACCAGCCCCACAGACUGGGGCUCUCCCCACAUCCUGCAGGGCCCCAGCCCCAGGGACAUCCCNUCUGAGCUCCUCUUCUCCACCCACCAGCCUUUCUGCAUGAAACUUGCAGCAGUUCCAUGCUAUGGAACUUCUACAUUUUGGCUAGCUGCAGCCACAUGUGAGGAUGCAGAAGCACCCCAGGGCAGAGAUGAAGCAAUGCUCUGACACAGUGAGGGGCUGGGGGUGGAGGCAGCCCAGCCCUAAGGACCCUGUGAGUGCAGCUUUGGGUUCAGCUCCAUCAUCACCCAGAUAAUUUCUUUGUCUGGGGGUCACAGGUCACCUGGGCUUUGGGAAGCC